Molecule: long non-coding RNA, 13786 nt
Filed under: Nicotiana benthamiana
Lineage: Eukaryota; Viridiplantae; Streptophyta; Magnoliopsida; Solanales; Solanaceae
Description: long non-coding RNA (NBEN_LNC026229)
Source: RNAcentral
GGAAAUAAAGCAUCUUUAUGAAUUUCCUUAGAGAAAUGCCAUAGCAAAGUCAGUAUCCAAUUGUCAGAAGUCCGUGCCUAUAAAUUGCUUUUCAGCACGUACGAAAUCCUGUUCUGAGCUCAUUAUAGAAUCAGUUAUGUAGCCCCUAUUGCAAAUAUUUUACAGCAUUUGUUGCUUAGGUUUGUUAAUAUGGUACUUUUAACAUUCAGAAAGAAGAAAAAAACUCCUUUUUUUUUUGGUUCUUUUAGUCGUAGGUUUCGAUUUAGCUAUAAUUUUGGUUCCUAUGCAUCACAAUCUAACCUCCAAUUUGUUAAGUGAAUCUAGUUUAUCCUUGUUGUUACAGCUUUUAAACUUUAAAUUAAAGAAAAUUUCAUUUCCCCUUCCCUAGCACUUCUUUGCUAACCACUCUCUUAAGCACCCUCAAUCUUCCCUUAGAACAUAAUAUCACUCUAUUACCUCUUUUAGGGAAUGGUGGUUUUCAUUUUUCCCAUGCAAAUUUUUUUUUUUUGGGUUUUAAGAAAGAAAAAACUUCAAAAAUGGUAGGAGGAAUUGGAAAGUUGGUGAGUUAAUCAUUUCUUUUCCAAUUUUUUGACCUUGUUAAAUUUGUUCAAUGCAUAGGAAUUGAAAGUUAAUGUGCUAAGCUCUAAAUAAUGGGAUUAUAUGAAAGUAAUGCGCAGUCGACACUAGGUGAAAGUCUUCCCAUCUGCCAGAAAUUACCCGUUCAAAUUUGAUUUCUAUUAUGAUUGACUCCUAUAAUGAGAAUAAGAAGGAAUUUCUCUCCAUGAUAGCUUGUUGUAUUUCAAGGGGUUGUGCUAAUUAUUUGGAUAACUGCUAGAGGACGAGAACUUCCUAUUUCUCGAGUCAUUUUCAGUCUGAAAACUGAAUCCACCAGAUAUCCUUUUGUUUUUCUUGAUAGCUAAUCAAAGCAAAACUUUUUUUUUUGGAUGAAAAUAAUCAAAGCAAAAAUAUAGUCCAACAAUUACAACACAACAAGAUGGGAACAUAAUCACUUAAACGUAUCAUAUUUCUUAUCAUUUUGUUUUUGUUCUCAUGCAGCGACUUCCAAACGAGGAGAGAGGGAAGGAACUUGGAGAUAUUGAAAACUUGACAGAAGAUAAAAUUGAAAAGAUUCUGCAGAAAUUUUUGCAUGAUCUGAAACAAGAUGCUCUAGAAGUGAAUGGCUGGCAGAUAAUGCUACCAGCAUAUAGCAUAUCGAAAGUGUCACUCAAUGCUUACACCAGAGUUCUUGCAAGAAGCGGGUGGGAAGAUAAUGCUACCAGCAUAUAGCAUAUCGAAAGUGUCUCUUAAUGCUUACACCAGAAUUCUUGCAGGAAGUUACCCGAAAAUGUGUAUCAAUUGUGUCCAUCCUGGAUAUGUAAACACGGAUAUAAACUGGCAUACGGGAACAAUGCCCGUAGAAGAAGGAGCUGAAGGCCCUGUUAUGCUAGCUCUUUUGCCAGAUGGAGGACCUACUGGUUGCUACUUUGAUCGUACUGUAGUAGCCGAGUUUUAGAUCCUGUUAUCAAACAAGGCUUAGUGAAAGACGCGUCUCUUAGUAUUUGGUUGGAUUUCUGUGCUGGGAUGAUGUCUGGUGGUUGCAUUUGUGGUUGAAAUAAUGAGGGAAGCAAAGAAUAAAAUUAAUCCCUUUAUGUGUCCAUAUCACCAGACUUGUUUUAGCACAUCAGUAAUGUUUUUGCUUGAAUUAAUCUUCUAGUUUGACAAAUCAGUUUCAUAAAUCACAAUUACUAUUUGGUUCUCCGGGACAGAGUGGGGGCAUUGGCAUCUAUACUCGUUUUUUUACCACAUUUUAACUUGUGUCCGUUUUGCAAAAAAAUUGUAAGCGUAUCUGCUUUUUCACGUAACUUCAACUUCGUGGGCUGAAGUUUUUCUUUUGUAUUGGAAAAUUUCAGCCGAAGUUUUUGUCUUUGUAACCGAAAAAACUUAAGCAGUUUUCCAGCUUAAGUUAUAAAAUGAAAACUUAAGCCCUAGAGCUGAAGUUUUCCAAUUAUAAAACAAAAACUUCAGCUCUUUCCAGUUAUAGUUUCUAUGUUAAAUUUCCAGUUUAAGUUUUCCAGUUAUAAAAUAAAAACUUGAGCAGUUUCCAGCAUAAGUUUUUAUUUUAUAACUGGAAAACUUAAGCCCUAGAGCUGAAGUUUUCCAAUUAUAAAACAAAAACUUCAGCUCUUUCCAGUUAUAGUUUCUAUGUUAUAAGAUGAGGAGAAAGAAAAGCUAAAGUUUUUUUAAAAGUGUGUACGGAUGCAAACAAAAAGACAAUAUUUGUACAUACUAACUGGUAAAAGACCAUUCUCAUGACUCUUCAAUUAAAUAUCAAAGAAUAUCAAGUAAGCAUCAUGUGUUAAAAUUGCUUUUGCAAAUAAAACAAUUACGUGUUUGGACUUUGAAUAUUGAUAUUAAAUAGUUGAUGUGUAGUAAAAAAUGUUGAUAAAUUGUUUUUGUUGAAAUAAGUAAACUACUCUUAAAGUUAUUUAAAUGCAAGAUAUAAGUUUAAAAGUAUGUUUACAGGGAGGAUACUAGGAUCAAUCACUUACCAUUAUGCCAAAGCUACAACUGAUAACAAGAGCGCAUCACCAUAGAUAAGAGGAUUGUUGGCAAGGAUGAACGACAGAAAUGGAAUGGAGUUUGGAGAAAGUAUCUUGGGGGAAAUACAAGAGAUAUUAGAGUUUAUGACUUUUGACUCAUUUUAGUGUAUAAGUAUUUGGUUUAAAAUUACUUUUGGAAUUUAUUAAAUACCUAUUAAAUAACAAAAAUAUUCGACCAACUUAUAAAAUUACCAUAAUAUUUGACACUUAGAAUUUUGAUCAAACUAUGAGCAUGUGACACUAGCUCCUUGUAAUAUCGGAAAACAUACCCAAAUAUCAUUAUUUUAGUGUAUAUUUGGAUCUCGAAACGUACAUCUCUUUACGAAUUUGCUUUAGUUUUUUGAUCCUACCUAUAUUUUUACACAUGGGAAAUUUACUUUUACAAAUAAAAGAUCUAUUUUUUACUCAUAAGAAAUCUAAAAAAACUUUUUUUAUAAUUUUAAAAUUAUAAAGGGAUAUAAUAUAUAAAUAACACCAUUUUUUCACGGGUCAACUUCUUUUUUUUUCCUAAUAGUUGUAGUAAUACUCCAUUGUUUUAGUUGUAGCACUGCAAACCCAUUUGAUUUAUUAUAUGAAUUUUUACCUCCUAUAGCAAAGAUUGAUACCUUAUUUAUUUUAAAUAAAUAUCCUUUUAAAAAAUUAUAUUUUAUAGAUACCGUUUGAUUUUUAUGGCCAAAUAUCUAUUUAUGGUUACCUCCUACUCUAAAGCUAUAAAAUACUCUUUGUAUUAUUUUUCUCUCUCAUUCUUCCAUAUUUUUCUCCAUCCUCUCUCUCUCAACCCCAGUAUCUCUCCCUCAACCGCCAUGGAAAUCCAUAUCAAAACUUCAAUCAUAGAUAUUAUACUCUUCCUUCUUCAUCCAAAAACCAUAUCAAAACAGUGAAAUUAUUGAAUAAUUUAUCUAAAUUGAAGACGAUGUCGAGAAAAUGAAUGAGAACUCUUAAUUGGUUUUCUCGUGAACAUUCAACAACUGAUAGUACUUCUCCAUCUACUUCUCAAUUUUCUUCCCCUUCGCAUUUCGGAUUUUCACCUUCUCGGCUGAGUUUUUCAGAAGUGGUGAUCGAUUGAACUUUGAAAAUGGCGAGGAGGCUCGUUUUAGCCGCUUUGAUGUAGGUUGCUUGAAUAUGUAACACCCUGCAAAUUUGAAUCAGUUGUGGAUGCAAUAAAUGAGUAUUAAUAUGAUGUUUAUCAAUUGAUUAUGAUAAUAAGCGUACGAGGCAUAUUAUAAGUGAUUUGGGGUCCAAGGAAAGACCUAAGUCUAAGCCAAGUUGGAAAAUUACAUGAUAGACUAAAAUUCUAAAUGAGCACGCACAAGACUAUAUUUUGGACAAGAAUAUCUACAUUUAUUUAAGGUAAUAUGUGAUUCACAACCUAUCAAAUGAAAGAUCUUUGAGUCUAGUGUGUAACGCUUCAAACCGUUCGCCAUUUGGACACUUCUACUAGAAGUUAUGACCAAAUUACCAAAAGCAGUGCAGAAUUUUACACUACUGCGCCGCCCCAUACGGCGCGGAUGUGUAAAUUAUAGAGAACCUCCAAAUUUCGUUUCUAAAUACAUUUUCAUUACCACGCCUCCUCAUGCGUCGCCCCACGCGUCACGGCUGUGCAAAUCUUUGUUUUUAUGUCAACUCGACCCUAUUUUGAUAUAAAACUUUCGAGGAUUAUUUUCCCCACUUUAUUUGGACAAAUUUUAGGGUUUUCCUCCACCCUCGCAAGACCUCCAACCCCUCCUAUCUUCAAGGUAAUCAAUCCCCAUUAUCUUGGUGUGCAUUUCAUCAUUUAUACACUAGUGUUGAUGAAAUCUACACAUAAAAUACUUAGAUCUUCAAGGGAUUUCUUCAAGAACUCAAAGGAGGGUUUUGCAAGAUUUCUUCCAAAAAGGUAAUCAUGAACCCUUAUACUUACAUGUAUAGAUUUAUUAAGGGAAUAUGAGUAUGAAUAAGUAUUGGAACUCUUGGUAUGUUGAUUGGAAACAAUAAGUUCCCAAUUUAAUUACACAACUAUUAUAGAGAUUGAAAGAUGUUUAUAUAAUGAAACUUUAUUGGUUAAGGGUGUUGUUUACCUUAUGGGUGAUAAAGAAUAAUAUUGAUUAUAACCAUUUAAGACUUUCGAAUUUAUCCAAGAGCUGGAGAAUUGGUUAUUGGGUAUAGAAACACUAUUAAUAGGUAUUAUGAAGUUUUAUACUCACCAAGUGUUUGAUAAAAUGCCUAAAUGUCCAAAACAUGGAUAUUGUUGAAAUUUAUCCAAGAGCAAGAGAAUCGGUUAUUGCGUGUAGAAAUAUCAUUAAUAGGGAUUAUGAAGCUUUAUACUCACCAAAUGUUUGAUAAAAAGCCUAAGUGAUCAAAACAUGGACAUUGUUGCUAAUUUGGAAUCCCUUUGAAUUGUAUUAUAUAGAUUAAAGUUGAAAGGGUUGGCGAAUGUUAUAUUAUGCUCAAGAGAAGGAAGUUAAGGUAUGUGAGGCUAACUCUUUAUAUUUGGGAAUGUUAAUGAUUCUCCCUGCACUAUGUUUCUUUUACGACGUUACCAAUUGCCUCAUAAAUAUAGUUAAGCCUAGUUCCUUGAAUAGUUGUAGAACUUCUAUUUUCUAGCUUCAUAACUUGCUCAUGACUUUCAUUUUGAAUGUUGUGAGCUCAGUGCGUAUUCAAGAUAGACUUGGGUUUGAUGCCCCUGAGUCUUAGUAUAGAUUACUCAGUAUGCUAUAUACAGUUGAAAUUUCAGUAUUCAUAAUCAGUUCAAGAAUGCAUGUCUUAGUCUAGUCCUAUUCACUAUGUCAUUAUUAUAUAACCCAGUACGAUCCAGUAUUAUGUAACUCGUUGUGAUUAAAUAUUCACUAUCAUGUAUUGCAGUAUGAUUCUCAGUUUUUGAUUUUAAAUCCCUGAAUGUCGAACACCUGUAUUUGGGCCUGAGGACGCAGUUAAUGCUUUAUGCAUCUUUGGGUCUGAAGCCGCAAUUUAUGCUUUAUGCGUUUUGUACCUGAGGUAGAAGUUAUGUAUUCAUAUAUUUAGGCUCGAGGCCGCAGUUUGUGCACAUAUAUAUUCGGCCCGAGGCCGCAUUUUAAUAUUCAGAUAAAUAGGUUGUUCAUCAUUCAGAAUAGUUAGUAUUCAUAUCCUUACUUCCUUUGUUCAGUUCAUUUAUCAGUUAUCAGUUAUCACUUCAGUUAUUAGUUAUCAGUUAUUAUUUAUCAGUUAUCACUUCAGUUAUUAUUACAGUUCAAUUUUGAUAGUUAUUAUUUCAGUUAUCAAUUAUCAAUUAUCAAUUCUCAGUUAUCAACUCAGUUUUAGUUCCAGCAUUUAUAAUUCUUUCUUUCAGUUGCUUUACAUACAAGUACAAUUCAAAUGUAUUGAUGUCCUUUUAGUCUGGGGCCUGCAUUUCACGAUACAGGUAAUGUUUUACAGGUUGAUGAUUCAAAGUGCCAGGAUUCUCGUACCAGCUAUUUGGUGAUCCCCAGUUCUUUCGGGGUAUUAUCAUUACUUUAUAGUCUUUCGGCAUUUACAGAUAGACAGUGUUUUCGGUACUUGAGUAGAGACUUCAUAGACUAGACCGAGCCUAGGUUCGAGGCAUUACAAAGCUUGGUAUCAAAGCACUAGGUUCAAGAGUCUUUGGAGUCUUUGAUGCCUUGUCUAUUGGAGUUUCCUUUAUAUGUGUGUGCCGACCACUCAUAUAAACGGUUAACUACUAGGACAAGGUUAACUACUAGGACAUUCAGGAAUGUCUCACUUCUUUCUACUCUAGAUCGUGCCAUGAAGCUUAGAGAAAUAGUUAACCUUCUCUUUCUAUCGAAUUCCAUACGUAUCGAAUGCCCAAGCGGCAGUCAAGAAAAUGCUAAGAUUUGAGAAAAGAUGAUUUGCCUAUUGUGGUAUUACUAUGGAGUACAUAUUGGUAACAAAUAAGAUUUGAGAAUAUGUUGAAACUGGGAUGCAAUGGAUAAUAGUACUGAUUAGAGCAUAACCUUAUUAAAAAGUACAAAAGCAGUCAUUAUAUUUUAUGGUUAUCAGUUUAACUCAGUUACCAAUUAUACAGUCUUUCAGUUAGCAGGUUUAUGGUUAUUCUGUAUGCCAGUUGUUUGUUAUUCAGUUACUAGACCUCCAAUUUUUUAAGUGUCUCAAUAUUUCUGGAUAUUUGUGAGUAUACAGUGAUGCAUAUGAAUGUUCAAAGAAAAUGUAAGUAACAGUGAUUAUUGCAAAAUCUUCGCAUGUUUAGGUAUUAAGACCCAAGACUCACCGGAUAGUGCAUGAAGUGAUUAUCAUAUGUGUAUGGCAGUGUAUCUGCAUGUCAGGACUCACGGUGUAAUAGGUUAAGAAUUCAACCACAACAGGCAUAAAAUUGAUCACUAUAGUUUUGGACAGAAAAUAGCCUAAGGGAAAUAUAGCCAAGAAUAGUAUGAUGUACGAAAUGAGAACCAAGAGAAGGCGAUACUGAAUUUUUUAGGGAAUGAUUUUGAGUUGUAUAGAUUUAUUCAAAUUAGAACUAGAAAGUACCAUGUUAGUGAAAUUUUAUAUGAAAUGGCUAUUAUUGUGAGAUAAAAUAUAUGCCAGUUCCUCUUCACAUAAUGUGACUAUGUGUUUAGGCCGGAGCUUUAUAGUCUGAAGUGAUUUUUAAGUGUAUAGAAAGUUUGGGAUUAAAAUAUCCAAUUUUUUUUAAGAUAUAUGAAAUUUUUCUAAGCGCGAUCCAUGUGCAUAGUUUAAAAAGAAUGACAGUGUACGGCAAGAGAAUAUGGUCAGAUGAUGAGGGAAGUGAGGAUAAACCUUAUGCUUCAAUUUAGUUAUUAAAAUCAGAGCAAGAAAAAAUGAUGUUAGCAGGUGGUUAGUACAAGAAUAGUAAAUAAGUUUUGAGUAAAUAUAGUAAAUUAGCAAUUUCAGCAGAGCUAGCAGAGGCAAGAUUCGAUUCACUUAGUCGGGUUAACCCCAGUGAGUGGAUGACAGUUUGAAAUAUCGAACAUGUGUUAGAAUCCAAAGAGUUUAAGUUAAACCCGAAGUACAGUGACAGUGAAAAUAAAUAGAUAAUAGUGAAAAGGCAAGCAAUAGAAGAAUAGCCUUUAGGAAUUAUCGAAAUGUGGUUUCUCCAUGAUUGAUAGUGUGAGUAGAAUUAAAUUAUUAAGAUUAUGUAUGAUAGUUGUGGGUACAUUAGCUUCCCGUUAUUUGAAUUUAGUUUUUCUAGCUCAGAAGAAAGUUGAAAGAUGAGUCGCCAUUGACCUAGAGUGCAAGGAAUUUCCAAAAAUAAGGAAAGUUAUUAUGACCCCAACAAAAAGAGAAGGAUCCACAAGUAUUAGAUCUUUGGUCUAAGGGAUGAAGCAAAAAUUUUCAGUAAGUCCAGUUAGAGAUUUGAAAUCCGAAUAGUUAGCAUGGAUAUGAAAAAGAAAAUCAGUUCAGUAAUAAGGAAAAAUUGUAUAAUUACCACAAGGAAUAUGUCUAUCAUGUGUAAGAAACACAAAGUGAGUAUAAUGAUCACUGAGCUUAGCCAUUGAUGAUAAAGUGAUCACAUAAAAGCUAUAAAAUCAUGCUCAUUUAUGUGUUACGAGGGUAGUGUCAUUGCAUGAGACUCUAAUACUCCGAGUAGUGGUCAGAGACUUAGCUAAAUAAUACUAAGUGUUUUCGGAAAGUGCUUAAGAAGAUAAUUAAGUAUGGGAAGUAUAGCUCAUGAAUGAGGUAGAUGAGAGAACUAUGUUGAAAUGGGUUCACUACAUAGCCAAGGUAGGACUUAGACUACCGGACAUCAAAGAUAGUGGAGUUGUCUAAAAUAGGACAUGUUCCUCCUUAGUAGCCGAAGUGAAAAAGAAAUGAUUUGAUGAUCCAUGCUUGUUGUAGCUGAAAGAGGGGAUUCAGGCAUAUAAAUGAUGGCUUUUGAACAAGGGGAGAUGAUGGUACUUCGAGGUACCAAGAUAGAUUGUGUAUUCCAACCAUAGAUGGACUUAGCGAAGGAGGGAAGACGUUAGAAGCCCAUAAUUUCAGGUAUUCUAUCCACCUAGGUUUCUCAAAGAUGUAUCAUGAUCUUAAGGAGACUAUUGGUGGAACGACAUGAAAAAGAAAGUUGCAGACUUUGUGGCCAAGUUUCUGAAUUUUCUGCAAGUAAAACUCGAGCAGUAGAAAACCAAAUAUUUAUCUCAGAACACACAUAUCUUUUAGUGGAGAUGGUAAAUAUGGACCUUAUAAUUGGAUUAUCUCGCUCAUUUAGUUGGUUCAAAGUUGGCGAAGCAGAGUUGCUGGGACAAGAUUUGGUCAAUCUAUGGAGAAAGUCAAGUUGAUUCAAUAGCAUUUGAAGAACAUCUCAGAGUUUCCAAAAGUCAUAUCCGAACAUGCAACAUAGAGACCUACAAUUUCAAGUUGAGGAUUGGGUGUUUCUAAAAGUUUUGCCUGUGAAAGGCGUUAUAAUUUGGCAAGAAAGGACAGCUCAAUCCCAGAUAUAUCAACCCAUAUAGGAUCCUAUGAAUGAUUGGGUAAGUAGAUUAUAAGUUAGAAUUUCCACCAUAAUUUGUGGUUGUACACCAGUAUUUCACGUGUCAUGUUAUAAAAUUCAAGUUUCCAGUAUUUAGAUCUCAUGUCACGAUAUUUAUGUUUGUAGCAUUCAGAUCUCAUAAUAGAACAUUCAAGCCAGUUCAGUACUCAGAUACUCAUGUCAGUCAAGUACUCAGAUAUUCAUGCUAGCUUAGUACCCAGAUAUUAAUGCUAGUUCAGUGAUCAGAUGUUCACGUCAGUUCAAUACUCGAUAUUCGUUCCAGUUCAGUAUUCAUAUAUCCACGUUAGUUUGGAAUUCACGUAUCCAUAACAAACAAGUGUUCAUGUAUAUGUACAAUGUUAUGCAUAUCAUUAUUCCCUAUGGAGCUAGUAUUAUGCUCUGUUAGCUGGUAGGUAUUUUGGAGAAAUGACAAAUGUAUCUAACCUUCUCAUUCAGGCCUUAUAUUACAAUCUUCAUGUAUUUCGGUAUUUAGUCGAUUUAGUAGCCAUUCAGUCUAGGACCUCAUCAGUUUAAUAAUCGUGUAUUCAUUCAGUUUAGAAUGCAAGUGUUAAUGAAAUUUCAUGUUCCCACCAGACCCAUUAAAGGUCCGGCGUUAGCCGAGGAUGUAGCCAGGACAAUCAUUCAAGGACGAAUGAUCCCAAUGGGGAGAUAAUGUAACAACCCGUAAAUUUGAAUAUGUUGUGGAUGAACUAAUUGAGAAUUAAUGUGAUGGUUAUCAAUUGGUUAUGUUAAUAAGUGUAAGAGUAAUAUCAUAAGUGAUUUGAGGUCCAAGGAAAGACCUAAGUCUAAGCCAAGUUGAAAAAUUACAUGAUAGACUAAAAUUCUAAAUGAGCACGCACAAGACUAUACUUUGGAAGAGAAUAUCUACAUUUAUAUAAGGUAUUAUGUGAUUCGCAACCUAUCAAAUGAAAUACCUGUUAGUUUAGUUUCUAACUCUUCAAACCGUUCGUCAUUUAGACAUUCCUACAAGAAGUUCUGGCCAAAUUAUUAAAGACAUACCACCCAGUUAUUUUGGCGGACAGCGAAGCAAGCUCGCUUCGCCAAAGUAGACGCAGGUUUUUGUCUUCCCUUGAAUGCAAUGGACAUAGAAGAGAGGACACUUCGCUAGAGUAGAUGCGCCCCAGUCCCAUCUCUUUUAAGUGCACAAGAAUAUACUUUGGAUGAGCAUAUCUAUAUUUAUGUAAGGUAUUAUGUGAUUCAUAACCUAUCAAAUGAACGAUCUUUGAUUCUAAUUUCUAACGCUUCAAACCUUUCAUCAUUUGGACACUUCUUCCAGAAGUUAUGACCAAUUUACCAAAAGCAGCACAAAAUUUUACACUACCGCGCUGCCCCAUGUGUCGCGGAUGUGCAAAUUAUCAUAGCACCUCAAAUUUUCGUUUCUAAAUACAUUUUUCAUUACUAUGCUGCCCCAUGCACGGAGACUAUGCAAAUAUUUAUUUAUUUUGUCAACCCGACCCGAUUUCGAUAUAAAACAUUUGGGGGUUAUUUUCCCCACUUUAUUUGGAUGAAUUUUACGGUUUUCCUCCACCCUCUCAAGACCUCCAUCCCCUCAUAUCAUUAAGAUAAGCAAUUCCCAUUAUCUUGGUAUAUAUUCCAUCAUUUCUACACUAAUAUUGAUGAAAUUUACUCAUAAAAUACUUAGAUCUUCAAGGGAUUUCUUCAAGAACUCAAAGAAGGAUUUUACAAGAUUUUUUCCAAAAAUGUAAUCAUACACCCUUAGACUUAUAUGUAUGGAUUUAUUAAGGGAAUAUGAGUAUGAAUAAGUAUUGGAACUCUUGGUAUGGUGGUUGGACCCCAUAAGUUUCCAAUUUAAUUACACAACUAUUAUAGAGAUUGAAAGAUAUUUAUUUAAUGGAACUUUAUUGGUUAAGGGUGUUUUAUACCUUAUGGGUGAUAAAGAAUAAUAUUGAUUAUAACCAUUUAAGAUCUUAGAACUUAUCCAAGAGCAAGAGAAUCGGUUAUUGGGUGUAGAAACACCAUUAAUAGGGAUUAUGAAGCUUUAUAUUCACCAAGUAUUUGAUAAAUUGCCUAAGUGACCAAAACAUGGAUGUUGUUGCUAAUUUGGAAUUCCUUUGAAUUGUAUUGAUAUAUAUUAAAGUUGAAAUGGUUGGAGAAUGUUAUAUUAUACUCAAGAAAAGGAAGUUAAGGUAUGUGAGGCUAACUCUCUAUAUUUUGGAAUGUUAAUGAUUCUCCCUACACUACGUUUCUUUUACGACGUUACCAAUUGUCUCAGAAAUAUAGUUAAGCCUAGUUCCUUGAAUAGUUGUAGAACAUCUAUUCUGUAGCUUCAUAACUCGCUCAUGACUUUCAUUCUAAAUGUUGUGAGCUCAGUGUGUAUUCAAUAUAGACUUGAGUUUGAUACCCCCGAGUCUUAGUAUAGAUUACUCAGUAUGCUAUAUACAGUUGAAAUUUCAGUAUUCAUAAUCAGUUCAAGAAUCCAUGUAACUCAUUGUGAUUCAAUAUUUCACUAUCAUGUAUUGCAGUAUGAUUCUCAUGAUUUUAAGUUCCUAAAUGUCGAACACCUGUAUUUGGACCUGAGGCCGCAGUUAAUGUUUUAUGCACCUCUGGGCCUGAGGCCGCAAUUAAUGCUUUAUGCAUAUUUGGACCUGAGGCCGCAGUUUAUGCUUUAUGCAUUUUGGACCUGAGGUCACAAUAAUGUAUACGUAUACUUCGGCCCGAGGCCUCAAUUUGUGCACAUAUAUAUUGGCCCUGAGGCUGUAGUUUAAUAUUCAGAUAAGCGGGUUGUUCAUCAUUUAGAAGAGGGAGUAUUCAUAUCCUUACUUCCUUUGUUCAGUUCAGUUAUCAGUUAUUAGUUAUCGUUUCAGCUAUGAAUUAUUAGUUAUCAGUUAUCACUUCAGUUAUUAUUAAAAUUCAAUUUUGAUAGUUAUCAUUUCAGUUAUUAAUUAUCAAUUCUCAGUUAUCAGCUCAGUUUUAGUUCCACCAUUUACAAUUCUUUCUUUCAGUUGCUUUACAUACCAGUACAAUUUAAAUGUACUGACUUCCUUUUUGCCAGGGGCCUGCAUUUCACAAUGCAGGUAAUGAUUUACAAGUUGAUGAUUCAAAGUGCUAGGAUUCUCGUACCAGCUAUUUGGUGAUCACAGUUCUUUCGGGACAUUAUCAUUACUUUAUAGCCUUUAAGCAUUUAUAGAUAGAUAGUUUUUUCAGUACUUCAAUAGAGGCUUUAAAGACUAGAGUAACAGCUAGACGGAGUCGCAUGCUUUUCAUAUUAAGCUAUGUUGACUACAAUAUGUUUCAAAAUUGUAUUAGUAUUUUCGCACUUUAAUUUUUAUCAUUUAGACUUUCAGCAUAUCACCAUGGGUUAGUUUAUCUUCCGCAGUUAGUAUGUUAUGACAUCAUAUGUUGAUUCAGCCAGCCAGUUGGUUCGCUCGGUCACAUGUAGUCAGGUACCGAGUGUCGUGUUACGUCCAGGCCCAAGUUCGGGGCGUGACAGAAUAGAUCCAUUAGGGUUUUUUAUUGUAAUUCAAUGUAUCUCAUUGUAUUUCAUGUAUUUCAAUGUAUCUCGUUGUAUUAUAUGUAUUUCAUUAUAUUUAUUGACUCGCUAUAUGGCAUGAAUGUAUUCAUAUAUUUUUUUAAUUAAUAUAAUAUAUAUAUUUAGAUGUAUUAUAUAAAUUUUCUGAAGAUUCCUAUAUUUUUGGGUAUUUUCAUGCUGAGAAUCUUUUUUAUAACUGAAAAUAUAAAAUUUAUGUGUUAUAAUUGAGUUUGUUGAGUUAUAUUAGGAGUCUAUUAUGUUAAUUGAUUCACCUUCCGUUUAUAAAAUAGUGUAAUCCCUUAUUUCACGCUAUGAAUACAGUCGAAUAUAGUUGAAUACAAUAAUCCGUCUAGCUAUAAUCCCAUGUUUCACUCCACAAAAACAGUCGAAUACACUCGAAUAAAAUAACGCUUCCUUGAUUCACGCCUAUUUUUGCUAUUGUAUUAGUGAAUAUAAUAGCUUAAAUACAUCAAAUACAUCUUAUAACCACACAAAAUAUAUUUAUAAUCUGUAAUAUAAUAAAUGGUAUAAAUGGCAGUGGCGGAUGUACUCAUUAAAAAUGGGUGCUCGAGCACACAUUAACCUCGACGGAGAGUAUGUAUAGUUAUAUAAAAAAUUUGAGAAAACGUAUAAAAAUUUACAAAAGCACCCAUUAAUUUUAUGUACAAAAAAAAUUCAGCACCCACAAACUUGAAUUCCAAGAUCCGCCACUGAUAAAUGGUAUCUAUAAAUGGUAUUCAGUGCUUUGUGAAAAUUUAUCUGUAUUAUACUUGCAGGUGAGUCCACCCGUAGGUUGAACCCAUAAAAUUUACAUCCUAGAUUCGCCUCUGCGCAGAAGAUCUUUCAACCUCAAAGGAUACUAGCAAUGGCAGUUAAUGUAGAGAAGGCACCUGAAAAGUACCUCUUUCCUCCUAUCAUGUUUCUUCUUUUGGAAUGGUGUUCUUAUCCCUUCUUCCUACAGGAUUCUAAGGUAGAAAAGGUUAGAAACUUUGAACUGAAGUGAUGGGAGAUGCUUGUAGGUAUGCAGUGGUUACGGGAGCAAACAAGGGAAUUGGCUUUGAGAUUGUCAAGCAGCUCGCAGAUUCAGGAGUGGCGGUUAUAUUAACAGCCAGAAACGAGAAGAGGGGAAUGGAAGCAAUAUCCUUGCUGAAUAAACAAGGUGUUUCAAAUAUUGUUUUCCAUCAGCUUGAUGUUCAAGAUGCUCAGAGCAUUGAUUCCUUGGAAAAGUUCAUACAAACACAAUAUGGG